RNAcentral lists this transfer RNA (71 nucleotides) under Marmota monax (woodchuck). RNAcentral's name for it is "tRNA.Gly". It matches the Rfam family "tRNA". From Rfam's summary of the family: Transfer RNA (tRNA) molecules are approximately 80 nucleotides in length. Their secondary structure includes four short double-helical elements and three loops (D, anti-codon, and T loops). Lineage: Eukaryota; Metazoa; Chordata; Mammalia; Rodentia; Sciuridae. The record is from RNAcentral.
GGGGUUGUGGCUCAGUGGUAGAGUGCACGCCUACCAUGUGUGAGGCAUUGGUUUGAUCCUUAACACCAUCU